RNAcentral lists this ribosomal RNA (319 nucleotides) under uncultured fungus. Its description in RNAcentral is "partial small subunit ribosomal RNA". It matches the Rfam family "Eukaryotic small subunit ribosomal RNA", at positions 30 to 350 of the family's 1831-position model. Lineage: Eukaryota; Fungi. The record is from RNAcentral.
GCUUGUCUCAAAGAUUAAGCCAUGCAUGUCUAAGUAUAAACAACUUUGUACUGUGAAACUGCGAAUGGCUCAUUAUAUCAGUUAUAGUCUACUCGAUAGUACCUUACUACUUGGAUAACCGUAGUAAUUCUAGAGCUAAUACAUGCAUAAAUACCCAACUUCACGGACGGGUAGUAUUUAUUAGAUACGAAACCAAUUGUCUUCGGGCAUUUGUGGUGAUUCAUAAUAACUUUGCGGAUCGCAUGGCGUAUGCCGGCGAUAGAUUGAUCGUGUUUCUGCCCUAUCAGCUUUGGAUGGUAGGGUAUUGGCCUACCAUGGC